Molecule: ribosomal RNA, 253 nt
Filed under: uncultured bacterium
Lineage: Bacteria
Description: partial 16S ribosomal RNA
Rfam family: Bacterial small subunit ribosomal RNA
Source: RNAcentral
UACGAAGGGGGCUAGCGUUGCUCGGAAUCACUGGGCGUAAAGCGCACGUAGGCGGAUUGUUAAGUCAGGAGUGAAAUCCUGGAGCUCAACUCCAGAACUGCCUUUGAUACUGGCGAUCUUGAGUCCGGGAGAGGUGAGUGGAACUGCGAGUGUAGAGGUGAAAUUCGUAGAUAUUCGCAAGAACACCAGUGGCGAAGGCAGCUCACUGGAACGCGCCUGACACUCAGGGACGAAAGCGUGGGGAGCGAAAGGG